UACAGAGGGUGCAAGCGUUAAUCGGAAUUACUGGGCGUAAAGCGUGCGCAGACGGUUGCGUAAGUCAGAUGUGAAAGCCCCGGGCUCAACCUGGGAACUGCAUUUGUGACUGCAUAGCUAGAGUACGGUAGAGGGGGAUGGAAUUCCGCGUGUAGCAGUGAAAUGCGUAGAUAUGCGGAGGAACACCGAUGGCGAAGGCAAUCCCCUGGACCUGUACUGACGCUGAGACGCGAAAGCGUGGGGAGCGAACAGG
RNAcentral lists this ribosomal RNA (253 nucleotides) under uncultured bacterium. RNAcentral describes it as "partial 16S ribosomal RNA". It matches the Rfam family "Bacterial small subunit ribosomal RNA", at positions 524 to 776 of the family's 1533-position model. The record is from RNAcentral.